AUUGAACGCUGGCGGCAUGCUUUACACAUGCAAGUCGAACGGUAACAGGCCGCAAGGUGCUGACGAGUGGCGAACGGGUGAGUAAUGCAUCGGAACGUGCCCAGUCGUGGGGGGUAACGCAGCGAAAGCUGCGCUAAUACCGCAUACGAUCUAUGGAUGAAAGCGGGGGACCGUAAGGCCUCGCGCGAUUGGAGCGGCCGAUGUCAGAUUAGGUAGUUGGUGAGGUAAAGGCUCACCAAGCCAACGAUCUGUAGCUGGUCUGAGAGGACGACCAGCCACACUGGGACUGAGACACGGCCCAGACUCCUACGGGAGGCAGCAGUGGGGAAUUUUGGACAAUGGGCGCAAGCCUGAUUCAGCAAUGCCGCGUGCAGGAAGAAGGCCUUCGGGUUGUAAACUGCUUUUGUACGGAACGAAACGGUCCUGGUUAAUACCCGGGGCUAAUGACGGUACCGUAAGAAUAAGCACCGGCUAACUACGUGCCAGCCGCCGCGGUAA
Molecule: ribosomal RNA, 498 nt
Filed under: uncultured bacterium
Lineage: Bacteria
Description: partial 16S ribosomal RNA
Rfam family: Bacterial small subunit ribosomal RNA
Source: RNAcentral